Transfer RNA from Puccinia graminis f. sp. tritici, 96 nucleotides. It matches the Rfam family "tRNA". From Rfam's summary of the family: Transfer RNA (tRNA) molecules are approximately 80 nucleotides in length. Their secondary structure includes four short double-helical elements and three loops (D, anti-codon, and T loops). Further hydrogen bonds mediate the characteristic L-shaped molecular structure. tRNAs have two regions of fundamental functional importance: the anti-codon, which is responsible for specific mRNA codon recognition, and the 3' end, to which the tRNAs corresponding amino acid is attached (by aminoacyl-tRNA synthetases). tRNAs cope with the degeneracy of the genetic code in two manners: having more than one tRNA (with a specific anti-codon) for a particular amino acid; and 'wobble' base-pairing, i.e. permitting non-standard base-pairing at the 3rd anti-codon position. The record is from Rfam. NCBI's taxonomy places the organism in Eukaryota, Fungi, Basidiomycota, Pucciniomycetes, Pucciniales, Pucciniaceae.
GGCACUGUAGCUCAGUUGGUAGAGCACAUGCUUAACAGGUUGCCAUCAAACGCUCUUGAUCGCAUGUUGUCGUCGGUUCGAGCCCGGCCAGAGUCA